RNAcentral lists this unclassified non-coding RNA (1013 nucleotides) under Hevea brasiliensis (rubber tree). Lineage: Eukaryota; Viridiplantae; Streptophyta; Magnoliopsida; Malpighiales; Euphorbiaceae. The record is from RNAcentral.
CCCUAACCUAAUUAACUCUGAGAGCUUAAUUAAACCAUGGCUGAGAAAAGCAAGAUUUUGGUGAUUGGGGGGACAGGACAUAUCGGAAAAUUCAUAGUAGAGGCAAGUGUCAAACUGGGUCACCCCACGUUUGCUUUAGUAAGAGAAAGCUCUGUUUCUAAUAAUCCUAAAAAGUCCAAAAUCAUCAACAGUUUCAAGGGCCAUGGAGUAACCUUGCUCUACGGAGAUGUUCAUGAUCAUGAGGGUUUGGUGAAGGCUAUCAAGCAAGUGGACGUUGUGAUCUCCACUGUUGGAGCGGAACUAAUGGCUGAACAGCACAAGAUUGUUUCUGCUAUUAAAGAGGCUGGAAAUGUCAAGAGAUUCCUUCCAUCAGAAUUUGGAGGAGACGUUGAUCUGAGCCAAGUAGUAGAGCCUGCUACAGACUACAUCGAGCUCAAGCGCAAAAUACGGAGAGCAGUGGAGGCUGAGGGGAUUCCGUACAUCUUCAUUGUCUCCAAUGGCUUUGCUCAAUAUUUCUUAGCAAGCUUGGGACAAUUAAAUGCUAAAGUUCCUCCUAGAGACAAAGUGGUCAUUUUGGGAGAUGGAAACACCAGAGUAAUUCUUCUGGCAGAAGAAGAUAUAGCAACUUACACAAUAAAAGCAGUGGAUGACCAAAGAACUUUAAACAAGAUUCUAUAUAUGAGGCCUCCUGCUAAUGUUUUAUCAUUCAACGACAUAGUUGCUUUAUGGGAGAAGAAAAUUGGCAAGACCCUUGAUAAGAUCAAUAUUCCAGAAGACCAAUUGCUUAAGAACAUCCAAGAGGCUCCUUCUCCACAUUUCAUUUUGGCUAUCAACCACAAUGCAUUUGUGCAGGGAAAUUUUGACAUUAAGGUUCCUUCCGGAGUAGAGGCUUGUCAGCUUUAUCCUGAAGUGAAAUACACUACAGUUGAUAAAUACCUUGAUCAGUUUGUUUAAUUAUGAUUACUGAAUUAAUUUCUUUUUAAUUUGAGAAUUUAUUUUCACCCCAAAUUCCG